Molecule: long non-coding RNA, 1171 nt
Organism: Xenopus laevis (African clawed frog)
Lineage: Eukaryota; Metazoa; Chordata; Amphibia; Anura; Pipidae
Exons: 3
Source: RefSeq, a predicted model, not a curated record
GCAAAUUGUCUCAGAGUACUACUCUCUACGUCAUACUAAAAGUUAAUUGAAAGGGGAACAAUCCCUUUAAUAGCACAGGCCUUUUCUUUGCAUACUUCCAUUUGUAGUCAUGGAGGAGAUUUCUUCUGUCAGACUUCCAGCCAAUUUCAUCAGUAUUGGGACCACUGUUAAUGGGGCCAAUAUAUCAUCCAUCAAUAAUUUGUAUCAAGCAGUCACAACCUUCAUUUUAGAUUUAACAAAAGCCUUUUUUUUUUAUUCUGCACUGGAAUUAACAGUUGCAAAUUAAAUGCAAUGAUCAAUGCUACAGAGAUGUAUUAGUGGUCAGUGCUGUUGCUGGGUUGCACGGAGCUCUAACACCCCAUUGAAUAGGGCCAGAACUUGGGGUAGGUACAAGAGGCAGGUGCUUAAGGCAAGGGGGUUCAAUAUGCCCUAUAAAAAAAUAAUUGCACCAGCUCCAUCUCCCUCUGGUCAAAUCCAUAAGCAUUACCCAAGCUGUGCAUUGAAUUAUGCUUUUAUAAAAUGGAUGGGCAAGGGAGAAUAUAAAAUAUGUAAUAUAUUGGUGGCUAGUUUUACAGUUAUAACAGAGGAGAAAUUUCCCAGCAUCUACAGUGAAUUCUAUGGUUGUUUUUAUGGUUUACUGGAUACAGUAAAUGAAUGGCAGUUGGAGAUGGCCGUUUGAUAUCUCUGCUUUUUGCUUAGUUGUGUGUUGACGUUUCCCAGCAUGCAUUGCUUAAAUGAGCCUGCCUAGUAUACUUUUUAAGCACAGUGGGAUUUUUAUCUGAAAUCCACUCUAAAAUAACAUUGCGGAAGACUCCUUAUGUUUUUCAGAUGCAAACCUUAGAAUGAAGAAGGAGCGCGCGGGGCCUGUGAUCUCCAGCAGAUUAACCUCCCAUCUGAGCAACGUUCACUCCACUGCAAGGACUUUACCCGGAGAUGAUUGAAUCUUUGCCUGGAACCUGAUGGUAAUGUGGGGCUCUGAGAACCCGAUGUGGCCCUCUGGUGGUCGUCGCAGGACAAUUUAACCUCUGACCAUGUCAGGGAAAAUCAGCUGCUCUGCACUAUCGGGCUGGAGAAUCCAAAGCUGCUUAUCCCUGCAACUGUGCAAAGAUCUGUAACUCCCAUCACCCCUUAUUGACCGGCUUCAAAUAAAAAGGUGCUGUGUUCAGAACUA